CUUUGGGUGAUCCUGGAUCAUAGAGCCAUAGCAAUAUUGAUGGUUGAAUGUUUGGAGCAGACAAUGUCAAUGAUUAACAGACAGGUUUUUGCUGAAAGAAUCAAGAGUUCAGUGACAGAAGAAUGAGGGUCAGAGAAGCAUGAAGACAAAGGAGAAUGAGGGUCAUUUAUUCAAUAAACAUUUGUAACACUCA
Long non-coding RNA from Homo sapiens (human), 193 nucleotides. RefSeq lists it as uncharacterized. NCBI's taxonomy places the organism in Eukaryota, Metazoa, Chordata, Mammalia, Primates, Hominidae. The record is from RefSeq and is a predicted model, not a curated record. The transcript has 2 exons.